Molecule: ribosomal RNA, 253 nt
Filed under: uncultured bacterium
Lineage: Bacteria
Description: partial 16S ribosomal RNA
Rfam family: Bacterial small subunit ribosomal RNA
Source: RNAcentral
UACGAAGGGUGCAAGCGUUGUUCGGAUUUAUUGGGCGUAAAGCGCGCGUAGGUGGACCUGCAAGCCAGAUGUGAAAUCUCGGGGCUCAACCUCGAAACUGCGUCUGAAACUACAGGUCUAGAGACUCGGAGGGGGAAGGGGAAUUUCGCAUGUAGGGGUAAAAUCCGUAGAUAUGCGAAGGAACACCAGAGGCGAAGGCGCCUUCCUGGACGAGUACUGACACUGAGGCGCGAAAGCGUGGGGAUCAAACAGG